RNAcentral lists this small RNA (127 nucleotides) under Marmota monax (woodchuck). The record is from RNAcentral. Lineage: Eukaryota; Metazoa; Chordata; Mammalia; Rodentia; Sciuridae.
GCUGGGCGCUGUGGGGCACGCCUGUAAUCCCAGCAGCUCAGGAGGCUGAGACACGGGGACCACAAGUUCAAAGCCAGCCUCAGCAAUUUAGCAAGGACCUAAGCAACUUAGUGAGACCCUGUCUCUA